CCUACGGGCGGCAGCAGUGAGGAAUAUUGGUCAAUGGACGAGAGUCUGAACCAGCCAAGUAGCGUGAAGGAUGACUGCCCUACGGGUUGUAAACUUCUUUUAUAUAGGAAUAAAGUGAUCCACGUGUGGGUUUUUGUAUGUACUUUAUGAAUAAGGAUCGGCUAACUCCGUGCCAGCAGCCGCGGUAAUACGGAGGAUCCGAGCGUUAUCCGGAUUUAUUGGGUUUAAAGGGAGCGUAGGUGGAUUGUUAAGUCAGUUGUGAAAGUUUGCGGCUCAACCGUAAAAUUGAAGUUGAAACUGGCAGUCUUGAGUACAGUAGAGGUGGGCGGAAUUCGUGGUGUAGCGGUGAAAUGCUUAGAUAUCACGAAGAACUCCGAUUGCGAAGGCAGCUCACUGGACUGCAACUGACACUGAGGCUCGAAAGUGUGGGUAUCAAACAGGAUUAGAUACCCGAGUAGUC
This 460-nucleotide ribosomal RNA is filed under the name uncultured bacterium. RNAcentral describes it as "partial 16S ribosomal RNA". It matches the Rfam family "Bacterial small subunit ribosomal RNA", at positions 338 to 795 of the family's 1533-position model. The record is from RNAcentral.